This 253-nucleotide ribosomal RNA is filed under the name uncultured bacterium. Its description in RNAcentral is "partial 16S ribosomal RNA". It matches the Rfam family "Bacterial small subunit ribosomal RNA", at positions 524 to 776 of the family's 1533-position model. The record is from RNAcentral.
UACGUAGGGAGCAAGCGUUAUCCGGAUUUAUUGGGUGUAAAGGGUGCGUAGACGGGAAGGCAAGUUAGUUGUGAAAUCCCUCGGCUUAACUGAGGAACUGCAACUAAAACUGGUUUUCUUGAGUGCUGGAGAGGAAAGUGGAAUUCCUAGUGUAGCGGUGAAAUGCGUAGAUAUUAGGAGGAACACCAGUGGCGAAGGCGACUUUCUGGACAGUAACUGACGUUGAGGCACGAAAGUGUGGGGAGCAAACAGG